AAUAUCCAUUAGUAACUAUAGAUAAAUAUCUAAAAUCAUUGCGGACAGUAGGUAUUAAUGAAUUAUACUUACGACAAAUAGUAUCAAGAGUAGUCGGUGCAAUAUAGUUCCAAAGGUCGAACGCUUGUGUUUUAUUUAAUUCUUUCAUAACAUUUUUGAUAAGAAUUAUGUUGUGACUAUUUAAUAUUUAUAUCCUAACUUUUUGCUAUAAUCAGUAAUUCAUCGGCUAGGUUGAACAGUUCAAUAUGACAAUAAUUUUAAUUUAGUACGUUUAGCUUAUAUUAGGUUAUAUUUAUUAGUAAGACUAUAUAAAAAGUUAUAUCAAUUGAAAUACCUACUUUUACCAACUUAUAACUAUAUAGUUAAAUUAUUUUAGAAAUAAAUACUUCAUAUUAUCUAGGUAUAAGGUAGGUAACAGCGGACCAUUAAAUGUAAUAAUUUUGUGUUCUAAUGUAUAAAAUUGAGUUUUUCGUAAAAAAUGACUAUUUCUAACUCCAACGAAUCGUGUCGACAAUUAUCACGAUUUUUAUCUUGAAAAAAUAUUCGCUACAUAUCAUGUACUAUGAAUCGAUUAAGCCACAUUUUUAUAUUUUUGUUAAUUUAUAGAUUGCAAUAAAUGUUGUAAACAUUUUUAAAAAAAUUAUUAAAAUUUAAAAUUUGCUUCAAUCGGUCCCUCGAACAUGUUAUGAAAAACUUGAAUAUUUUGUCAGAAUGCAAAUCGAGGUAGGUAAUCGUUGUGACGUAGAAUUGUAGGAACCACAUAAGAUUCCAUACAACCUUCCAGUAAAGUUAUAUUUUAUAAUUUUAUUUAAAUAUUAUUUUAAAAUGGGUUUAGUAUGCAGUAAAAUCAAAAACUCAACAAUCUAAAAGAUAAAAAAACAGCCGAUUUAUAAAUUAAAUUAGUAACUUACACAAACUGCGAACAAACAAAAUGUAGAUGAAACUUCGUAAGUGUUUUUAUAAAAUUUAAAUAUUGUAACAUAAUAAUAUUAUAUAUAGUAUAUACUGUAUUACUGUAAAAUAGUUAAAAAAGUUAAAAUAGUUUUGGACAAUAGGUGGGCACAUAAAUUACCUACAUCAUAAAAAUACAUAGAAGAUAAUGAUUUAAAAAAAAAAAUAAAAACAAUAUUGUUUACAUGAUUUCUAGGCUGUAGAUUUAACUAUAGUAUAAUAUGAUAUAUUAUAUAAUUAUAAAAUGCAUUCAAUACUGAUAUUAAUAUUAAAUAGUAGUUGGUCUCCGGUAGUUGGCAGUUACUGGCAGUCGUAAACAGGUGGUAGGUAUGGUAAUUAGUAAUUACCAUUACCUACUGUUUACCAUUAACUACCAUUCCCGUAUUCACUUAGGUACUGACGGACACUUACUUAUUUUCUUACGCAUAUUAUGUUUGUCAAUAUUUAUUUAAUAUUUCAUUUUUCUAAUAAACCGUGAUUUUAUUUUAUAAACAUAUAUUAUAACUAUAUUGGAAGUGGCUAUUUUCGUAUCUCAAGACUGCUUCGAAUAGAUUGUUGAACCUUGUAGUCUUAUGGUGGAUGACUAUUUGCAUUAUUUAGCUGUUUGAUGACAGAUGCAAAUUGAAAUCUAUCAGCAGAAAAUGUUCUUGUAUUAUCUGACUUUCUACAUACAUUUUGCAACUCAUCGACUCAAUUUCAAAGUUCUAUCAGUAUUUUUGGGAAAAUAUUUGUAUGGAAUGGUAUCUUAAAAAUAUAUAAGUUUUAAGUUACCAAGAACAGUGUCGAGCGUUCGGUCUCUGAGUCUAUAUUGCUGCGGCUUUUGAUAAUAUUUGUGCAUAACAAUAUAUAAUGAUUAAUGAUGAACGACCAAAGUGAUUGUAAGUGUUCAUUGCACUCCAUAGACUAUAAGUCAGUAAGACAUACUUGUAAUGGAAAUUGUUUCACUGUUUCGAAGACUCUUUGUUGUCCGGUGAGUUUUAAAUACACUGUAAACACGAUUUCCGGGUAUAACCAUGGUUUGUAAAUUCGCAUCGCGUCUAAAUUUGAUACUCUAAAAAAACAAAUUAACCUGGUGGAUUUCAGGUUAAGAGGACGCAACCCAUGCAUUCGUUGUCUCAGUCUUACCCACGUACGAGACAGUAAAUUUCCGUCCACUAUUUUCAAUAUAGUGUGCUGUUAGUUUUGAUUUUGAAGUGAAUUGACUUUUUAUCAAACUAUUAGGUAAGAAAAUUAUCUGUGCUUAGGCGUUGGUGAUUUUCCAAUAUUUUAUUUUUUUAACAAAAUAUGAGCAUUUUUAAUUUGUAAUUAUUCACAUACUCGUAUCUUGAUUAAAAAUUAAUAUAUUAAAAAUCUCCGACGCUUAAUCACUGGCAAUAUUUUUACCAAAAAAGUAUGAUUAUAUAUGUCAAUUCACUCUAAUGUAAAAAUUAACAGCAAACUAUAGAAACUAAUAAAUUGAAACAAUUGAGUUUCAAGAUUGUAACCCAUUGCGUUUUCUAUAUAUAAUAAAGUAUCCAUAAGUAACUUGACAAUCAUCUCAAAUUAACGACGCCCUA
This is a long non-coding RNA of Acyrthosiphon pisum (pea aphid), 2507 nucleotides long. RefSeq lists it as uncharacterized. The record is from RefSeq and is a predicted model, not a curated record. NCBI's taxonomy places the organism in Eukaryota, Metazoa, Arthropoda, Insecta, Hemiptera, Aphididae. The transcript has 3 exons.